This 73-nucleotide transfer RNA is filed under the name bacterium. Its description in RNAcentral is "tRNA-Trp". It matches the Rfam family "tRNA". Rfam says of the family: Transfer RNA (tRNA) molecules are approximately 80 nucleotides in length. Their secondary structure includes four short double-helical elements and three loops (D, anti-codon, and T loops). The record is from RNAcentral.
GGGGGUGUAGUGUCAACGGCCAGCACAACGGUCUCCAAAACCGUUAGACUAGGUUCGAAUCCUAGCACCCCUG